This 969-nucleotide ribosomal RNA is filed under the name Salmonella enterica. RNAcentral describes it as "bacterial SSU rRNA". It matches the Rfam family "Bacterial small subunit ribosomal RNA", at positions 138 to 1102 of the family's 1533-position model. RNAcentral also lists the same sequence under 2 other names. Lineage: Bacteria; Pseudomonadati; Pseudomonadota; Gammaproteobacteria; Enterobacterales; Enterobacteriaceae. The record is from RNAcentral.
GGGGGAUAACUACUGGAAACGGUGGCUAAUACCGCAUAACGUCGCAAGACCAAAGAGGGGGACCUUCGGGCCUCUUGCCAUCAGAUGUGCCCAGAUGGGAUUAGCUAGUUGGUGAGGUAACGGCUCACCAAGGCGACGAUCCCUAGCUGGUCUGAGAGGAUGACCAGCCACACUGGAACUGAGACACGGUCCAGACUCCUACGGGAGGCAGCAGUGGGGAAUAUUGCACAAUGGGCGCAAGCCUGAUGCAGCCAUGCCGCGUGUAUGAAGAAGGCCUUCGGGUUGUAAAGUACUUUCAGCGGGGAGGAAGGUGUUGUGGUUAAUAACCGCAGCAAUUGACGUUACCCGCAGAAGAAGCACCGGCUAACUCCGUGCCAGCAGCCGCGGUAAUACGGAGGGUGCAAGCGUUAAUCGGAAUUACUGGGCGUAAAGCGCACGCAGGCGGUCUGUCAAGUCGGAUGUGAAAUCCCCGGGCUCAACCUGGGAACUGCAUUCGAAACUGGCAGGCUUGAGUCUUGUAGAGGGGGGUAGAAUUCCAGGUGUAGCGGUGAAAUGCGUAGAGAUCUGGAGGAAUACCGGUGGCGAAGGCGGCCCCCUGGACAAAGACUGACGCUCAGGUGCGAAAGCGUGGGGAGCAAACAGGAUUAGAUACCCUGGUAGUCCACGCCGUAAACGAUGUCUACUUGGAGGUUGUGCCCUUGAGGCGUGGCUUCCGGAGCUAACGCGUUAAGUAGACCGCCUGGGGAGUACGGCCGCAAGGUUAAAACUCAAAUGAAUUGACGGGGGCCCGCACAAGCGGUGGAGCAUGUGGUUUAAUUCGAUGCAACGCGAAGAACCUUACCUGGUCUUGACAUCCACAGAACUUUCCAGAGAUGGAUUGGUGCCUUCGGGAACUGUGAGACAGGUGCUGCAUGGCUGUCGUCAGCUCGUGUUGUGAAAUGUUGGGUUAAGUCCCGCAACGAGCGCAAC